GUGAGUACAGCUCAGUGGUAGAGUGCAUGCUUAGCAUGCAUGAGGUCCUGGGUUCAAUCCCCAGUACCUCCA
Molecule: transfer RNA, 72 nt
Filed under: Camelus dromedarius (Arabian camel)
Lineage: Eukaryota; Metazoa; Chordata; Mammalia; Artiodactyla; Camelidae
Also listed under: 1 other name
Rfam family: tRNA
About the family: Transfer RNA (tRNA) molecules are approximately 80 nucleotides in length. Their secondary structure includes four short double-helical elements and three loops (D, anti-codon, and T loops).
Source: Rfam by way of RNAcentral